AGGUGAAAGCAUUUAUGGCCAAUGGAUGUCACUUGGAUUUUAAUCAAACCCCCUUUGAUUCAUUCUCCCCACAGACUUCUACACAAAAGUUAGUAAGUAUUUUGCAGAGCUCUGAUCACGUCAUAUGCAGCUGGUUGUUUAUAGCUCAGCUCAAAUUUCGGAGGACUUAUCAUUUGUUGCAAAUGACGAAUCAGACUUUGUACAUAAGCACCUGCUGUUGUGAGGAUAUAAUAUAUAAUGUAACAAUGUAGUUACGAUAUAAUAUAUAAUUUAACAAUGUAAUAUAACAAUGUUUCUAAAUU
Long non-coding RNA from Rosa chinensis, 302 nucleotides. RefSeq lists it as uncharacterized. NCBI's taxonomy places the organism in Eukaryota, Viridiplantae, Streptophyta, Magnoliopsida, Rosales, Rosaceae. The record is from RefSeq and is a predicted model, not a curated record. The transcript has 3 exons.